UACGUAGGGCGCAAGCGUUAUCCGGAAUUAUUGGGCGUAAAGGGCUCGUAGGCGGUCUGUCACGUCAGGAGUGAAAACUCGGGGCUCAACCCCGAGCCUGCUUCUGAUACGGGCAGACUGGAGGUAUGCAGGGGAGAACGGAAUUCCUGGUGUAGCGGUGAAAUGCGCAGAUAUCAGGAGGAACACCGGUGGCGAAGGCGGUUCUCUGGGCAUUACCUGACGCUGAGGAGCGAAAGUGUGGGGAGCGAACAGG
This 253-nucleotide ribosomal RNA is filed under the name uncultured bacterium. Its description in RNAcentral is "partial 16S ribosomal RNA". It matches the Rfam family "Bacterial small subunit ribosomal RNA", at positions 524 to 776 of the family's 1533-position model. The record is from RNAcentral.